GUAGGUGAACCUGCGGAAGGAUCAUUAACACGUUACACAAACGUUAUUAUACAUAUAUACCAACCGUGAACCAAAUGAAAAUGGCUAGCUCUAUUAGGGCUGCAAAAACUCUUAGUAGUCUGCUGCCGCCUGCGGUUUCAAUCUAUGUCCCUCCCUUCCUUCUGUUGUGGAGAGUCGACCAUUUAGAGACACAAAACCAGGUGGUUGUCCGAGGGGUUAGCCAUUAGUGUUGUCGUUAUUAUUAACGACU
Molecule: unclassified non-coding RNA, 250 nt
Filed under: plant metagenome
Description: partial contains small subunit ribosomal RNA, internal transcribed spacer 1, and 5.8S ribosomal RNA
Source: RNAcentral